CUGCAUAAAACCAUGCCCAUAUCGCUAGCUUUCCAUGGACACCAGAAAAAUCUCAAGCUCACUCCCAAAUUGUUUUUGCCAUGGAAAAUCCUUUCCAAAGAUUGGCAUAUAAAUCUGAGUUACCCCCAGAAUCCAAAUUACAUCUGGUUUUCCAUGUCUCUCCUAAGAAAGAGAAUUGGAAAUCAAGAGGAAAUCUCACCUCCUCUGCCUGAAUCGCCAGCUACAUCCGCACCUCGCUCUAUCCCUCGAGCCAUUCUGGGAACUCGUAAGAAAGGGGGAGAAAAGGAGGCUCUUGUUUAUUGGCAAAAUCUCUCCCCUGCUGAGCCCGCAUGGGAAAGUCUUGCUGAAUUGAAGACACGAUUUUUCCUUAAUCUCUGGGAACUUAGACUUCAAGCUUGUCAGGCUGCAUCGUUUUUUGAAGAAAUUAUUGUUAAUAAGAUCUAAAAUGUUUGCAAAUUAAUAGGUCUACAUGUAUACAAAUAGAAAUAAACUUAUCUAAACUGUUUUACAUGUAGUAGAGCAUGAAAAAAAAAUAUUAUAGUACAUAAAACACCAUUGUAUUAUUGGAUGUUUGCUCAGCUGUGCGCAUGGAAGAGCCUGUGGGUCUUGAAACUUAUUCUUUCUGCAGAGGUGAGAAUCGUACUGUUUGAUUUUGCUGCUCAACAUCCUGCCCCUUUAUCCGUUUCUGGUGCAACUCCUUGACCUUCCUUUACUGCCAUACUAUUGAAUUGACAAAUAAUGGAUAAUUUAUGAGCUCUGAUAGGGUUUUGACUGUUAAACUGUUGUUUUACAAUAACAGAUUGGAGGCCUUAAUCCGUUUCCUCCAUUAAGCAGCUGCUAGCAGUCUCGUUUGCUGUGUUUUGAAGUUUGGAGGCCUAAACUCUUCUGCUCGAAAUGCUCGAUUUAAACAACUCAACAGACCAGUAAAAUAAAUUUAUGAAUAAAAUUAAUAUAAGAAAACGUUUAAUUUGACUUCUUAUCUAAAUCAGGUUUAAAAUAA
This 1000-nucleotide long non-coding RNA is filed under the name Populus trichocarpa (black cottonwood). RNAcentral's name for it is "long non-coding RNA (PTRI_LNC000760)". The record is from RNAcentral. Lineage: Eukaryota; Viridiplantae; Streptophyta; Magnoliopsida; Malpighiales; Salicaceae.